ACAGAGGUGGCAAGCGUUGUUCGGAAUUACUGGGCGUAAAGGGCGCGUAGGCGGCCUUGCAAGUCCUGUGUGAAAUCCCUCGGCUCAACUGAGGAACUGCACAGGAAACUGCUUGGCUUGAGUUCGGGAGAGGGAAGCGGAAUUCCGGGUGUAGCGGUGAAAUGCGUAGAUAUCCGGAGGAACACCGGUGGCGAAGGCGGCUUCCUGGACCGACACUGACGCUGAGGCGCGAAAGCUAGGGGAGCAAACGGGAUUAGAUACCCCGGUAGUCCUAGCUGUAAACGAUGAGUGCUGGGUGUGGCGGGUAUUAACCCCUGCUGUGCCGAAGCUAACGCAUUAAGCACUCCGCCUGGGGAGUACGGUCGCAAGGCUG
Molecule: ribosomal RNA, 373 nt
Filed under: uncultured bacterium
Lineage: Bacteria
Description: bacterial SSU rRNA
Rfam family: Bacterial small subunit ribosomal RNA
Source: RNAcentral